Non-coding RNA from Pelobates cultripes (western spadefoot toad), 249 nucleotides. NCBI's taxonomy places the organism in Eukaryota, Metazoa, Chordata, Amphibia, Anura, Pelobatidae. The record is from the annotation of a GenBank genome assembly.
GAAGUGUGCUAGACUAUAUAUAGUUAUUACAGUAUAGCACCAUUUACCUGCAAUAGUCCAAGCUAUUUAUUAUUAACCUGAGCCCCCUGUGCUCCAGAAUUCAAAAAACCAUUUAAACUGCUUAAUUGGAUGCUACUUCACACCUCCGUUGCUCCAUAUUUUUUAGAUAAGUGCUAGCUGGUACAUAUCUGAUGAUUAUGACCCCAAGAAUUUUAGAAUCAGAUAUGAGAUGCUUUGGCGAGUUAGUUG